UUGUAGGAGACUAGUUUCGGCUGUUUUUUUGGCCUAUUGCAUAGGCUUAUUUUGCUGCAACAUCAAUUUUCAUUGUAAUUAUUAUGGGAUGUUUGAUGUAAAUAUUAAGGCUAUAGCCUUUUAAUCUAUAUAUCUUCUACUUAUGUUAAAAAAAAAAGUAGAAAAACACAAAUGGAUACCAAAUAUAGACUUUAAAAAAAAAAUCUAGCUUCAAAGGGCUUGAACCCGUACCACAGGUAAGUACACCGGUUUUUCCCAAGUAUCCCUAUAAAAAUUUUGGACAACUCUCACUUUCAGAUCUCUUUCUCUCUCAUUCUCCUCUCCCUAUCUCUCUUAACUCCACCGCAGACCCGACAACUCUCUCGUCCUCUCUCUCUUUCUACACCCUCCUCACUCACAAGUGGCGGCGAUGGUGGUGACGAUGGUGAAGGUGGUCGCAAGCGAUAACGACGGUGCUUUGAAUUCUAGGGUUUUGAUUGCUUGUCAUGAUCAAAAUGUACCAUGGCGUAGGCAAAAUUCUAUUGAUAAAGUUCAAUGAUAUUAUAUACGAGAUGUCAACACUGUUGAGUGUUGAUUCUGCUAUUAGUUCUUAGAUGGAUAUGUCCAUUUAUGCAGUGUCGGGCGACCAUGGUACAACCUUUGAAGCAGAGGAUGUCACAUUUCAGCAGCCAGUACUCGUAGAAAAAGAGGCAGCAGAGGAAGGAGGUUGUGAAUGAUCGUGUUUCAGCACUACUGUUUAUGUUGUGCUUUACUGCUACUUAGCCUUUAGCAUUGUAAUUGUUUUUAUUUUUUUUUUUUUUUUUAAAUUGUAAUUUAACAAGCAUUUAUUAAUUAAAAAAUAAAUCUAAUUAUAUAUAUGUAUAUAUUUCAUUUAAUGGUUUGUUUAUCAAUUCUACUUUUUUUUUGGCAUGAAGAGCACCGAAUCAAGGGAAAAUUCAAUGCCCUUGAUGUUAGGCUGGGCAUCCAUGCCCAUUAAUUGCACCUUUUCUACUUGUAAUA
Molecule: long non-coding RNA, 999 nt
Organism: Chenopodium quinoa (quinoa)
Lineage: Eukaryota; Viridiplantae; Streptophyta; Magnoliopsida; Caryophyllales; Amaranthaceae
Exons: 3
Source: RefSeq, a predicted model, not a curated record